Molecule: long non-coding RNA, 1262 nt
Filed under: Pan troglodytes (chimpanzee)
Lineage: Eukaryota; Metazoa; Chordata; Mammalia; Primates; Hominidae
Description: long non-coding RNA NONPTRT008074
Source: RNAcentral
UCACCUCGCUCUCCCUGCGCCUCUCUCCUUGGCCUAGCUAGACAAGUGCUUCUCACGGUGGUGUCUGAUCCGUCAGGCUCUGCGCUUCUCUCUCGGAUCCAUCCUCAAUGUCCAGGCAGGACUCUCACAUGAAGCCGGUGCUGUCUGCUGUUCACUCUAAGAUGUCCAGCCACUCAGGACAGUUACGAUCUGUCAUCCAGGGCCCAAACCGACUCUCCUCUAUUGCUAUCUGAGGUAGGCAGUCUCCUCUGUGACGUCGGUCCCAUCCAUACUGCCUAGAUCCCUGCGCAGGAAGACUGAGAUGAGGACCCUAGGAGACAGCAGCCAGGGAUAGCGAAGGUGGAGGAUGAGUAUAAAUAGCGACCGCAGCGCGAUCAGAGAAGCUCCCUUACCCCCACCCAUCGCAGUGGGAGUGAGUCUUCAGAUCUACCCCCAAGACAACGAAAUCCUACCCGGGCCAUUGAAGGGAAACCUCCACUCCAACCCCUAGAAGACGCCUUAGAUGAGAAAGCGAAGAGACUCUUCCACCUGUAUGCCCAUCUUCAUAGACCGGCCCAUCACUGGUGCCUCAAGCAUUUUCACUAUCACAGCCAGUAACCUGCAGACUCAACCUCAAGCCUACUUUGUACUUUGGUAUAAACUGCAUGGAUACCAAUCCCUUUUCACAGGUUUUCAUUUCCUGGUCUCCCAUAGGAUCCAGGAUGAGUAUCCUCCCAUUUGACCAGUUCCAUCCCAGUAUGGAGCAGAUAUCCCUUGUAAAGAACACAGUCUCCACCAGCCCACCUGCUUUUAUGGUCAACAGCCCUACCUGAAUUUACAACAUUGCCUUUUGACCCAAGAAACACCUAUCACCUGAAAUCUAGGGUUCCAGACAGGCCUCAACAGGAAACCACCCUCUUCAAUGCCCUGUCUUUUCUGGCCCACCUACCACUGCUUCUGCAGUCACCUCCACUAUAGUAAGCAGACCCUCUUCAGACUUGGCAUCCAAGCCUGCCUUUGACUCUGAUGAAAUCAACAUGGAUACCAUGCCCAUUUCCCCAUCUGUUAUCUUCCUGUCUCUCCCUGCAACGUUAACAGCUGUUUCCCUUUGAAGAACCUGGCAGCCCCCAAAAAUCCUUCCUACUUAACCUCUACUGCAGCCCUGGAACCCAAUGACAGCACCAGUCAGCUUUUGGGAAUUUGACUCCCCCAUGUCCACCUUUGGUAUCUGCUAUGGUUUGAAUGUGUCAACCAAAUUUCGUGUAUUAAAAACUCAAUCCCCA